CGAAGGAAGGCGUGCGGCGUAAAGCCCCUUUUCGUGGGUAUAUUUCGUAUACAUUUAUCCAGCCACUCUUCGGCUUUUCAAGUAAAUAAUUGAAAUUGCGCAUACGUGGAGUCUUCUACAGAUUAAGUCAUGUAGCGCUUUCUUAAUUAAUUAUUUUCGACGAUGCAAACUAGAAUUAAAUUAUAUAACUGCCGGGUAGAAUAUCCGUCGUUCAGUUUUACGUUUGAACUGAGUUUUAAAGUUUAAACCUUCAAACGCGCAUUUUUCGUCCGGUAAAUUGUUCUAUAAUUUAUUCGGAAACAAAGCAUUAAAAAAUGUCGGUUGUGUAGCGUAUUUGAACGUGCAUAAUAAUAUCGCAUAAGAAGACAGCGGUCGAGAAAUACGUUUUAAACCUACGUGUACGGUAUAUAUUUUUUUGAAGUAAAUAAAAGUAUAAACAAAUACGAAAUAUUUUGUACCGUGUAUCUAUCUCACGGUAUCGAUAUUAUGUACACAUCACGUUCACGCGGGGAGAUUUAAAAUAAUUCUUUUUGGACUUUUACGGACU
Cinara cedri is the source of this 547-nucleotide non-coding RNA. The record is from the annotation of a GenBank genome assembly. NCBI's taxonomy places the organism in Eukaryota, Metazoa, Arthropoda, Insecta, Hemiptera, Aphididae.